GACGAACGCUGGCGGCGUGCUUAACACAUGCAAGUCGAACGGAAAGGCCUGCUUUCCCUUGUGGAUUGCGGGUGCUCGAGUGGCGAACGGGUGAGUAACACGUGAGUGAUCUGCCCCCAACUUGGGUAUAAGCCUGGGAAACUGGGUCUAAUUCCCGAUAGGACUGCAGGGUGGUGCCUGUGGUGGAAAACGAUUUUCUAGUGGUUGGGGAUGAGCUCGCGGCCUAUCAGCUUGUUGGUGGGGUAAUGGCCUACCAAGGCGGCGACGGGUAGCCGGCCUGAGAGGGUGGACGGCCACAUUGGGACUGAGAUACGGCCCAGACUCCUACGGGAGGCAGCAGUGGGGAAUAGUGCACAAUGGGCGGAAGCCUGAUGCAGCGACGCCGCGUGGGGGAUGACGGCCUUCGGGUUGUAAACUCCUUUCGACCGCGAGGAAGCCACCUGGUUGGAAGGGUGGUGACGGUAGUGGUAGAAGAAGCACCGGCUAACUACGU
RNAcentral lists this ribosomal RNA (493 nucleotides) under uncultured bacterium. RNAcentral's name for it is "partial 16S ribosomal RNA". It matches the Rfam family "Bacterial small subunit ribosomal RNA", at positions 28 to 506 of the family's 1533-position model. The record is from RNAcentral.